GCCUUAGGGUAUAGGGAUUUCAUCCAUGAACUUUUAGAAAGCGUCGGGCAUUGAAUGGCUUCAGAGUACCCUACCCCUUCCAUUUACCGGGCGAUUGGUUUCCCUGUCUGUUUCACUUGAAGUCUACUAUUUUAAGCCCACACUUUUGAGAAGAAGGAAUCCCAAACACGCCCUUCGUCUCGCAGGUCAGUUUUCUGUAACCCUAAUUUUUCUAUUAAUGGUGAACGGCAUACUGCAAUGGAUUCGAAGGGUAUUCAGAUUGAAGCCAUCUCAGAUUAAACUCGCAAUAACGAGGACAGUGAUUUGUUUUCAUUUUAGGUAUGUUUUUGCAGUUUGAUGCUCUAAUUGGUAUUAUGUUAUUUCAAUUAUUCGCCCCAAUCCUCAAAAUUUCCUUUUGAAUUCGCUUGCUUUCCUCUGUUUCGGUUGAUUAAUUGAACACCCGUUUCGAUUUCACAGUGUUUGUUUCGAAUUUUGAGUUUUGCCUAUUAGGGUUUUAGCAUGAUAAUCAAGAGGAAGUUGAAAUUGGCAAUGCUAAUUUAAUCAAGUGCAGUUUUCCCGAUUGUGGUUCAAAGCAAGCUUCAUUGCGGAAGAUAAUCAACCGAUGCCGACCGUAAUCGUCGAAGAACUUCAACUAAUUUAGCAUAAAUUUUCCUUUUCCAUUACCUGUUUGACAUCAACUGUCUUCGACUGCUGAAUUUAUACGCAAAGCAAAACUGUCACAAACCAUGGUGGAAGGAAUCAAUGGAUAAGGUACUUCCCACAAGGACACAGUGAACAGUAAAAAAAAACAAGAAGGCGUACCCGUUCUUCUCAUACAGGUCAUUCACGUGAUACCGCAAAAUGGGUGGAUCCAGACAAGGCAAGCUCAUCGAGAUAGUCCUACACCAAUACUUCUAUCAGUAUUUCUCGACAUAAUUCAACCAAGAUACGAUCAAAAUCGGCUGCAAUGGAUAGGGCCAGAAGUAGUUAGUGAAGAUUGCGAGCUCUUAUUCGCUUCUUAACGGAACUCACUAUUAUAUGUGCUGGAUAUAAGCAACUCAGUCUUCUGGCAUCAAUCAACAGAAGCAGUCACUUUAGUUGGGGCCUGAUGAUCAUCUCUAUCUGGAAGGAUUUGCAUCAAAUGUCUUUGCAAAGGCCGAUAAGCAAGACCGGCUGGAAGAGCUGACAUGUAUGAUAUGCUCUACUUCUUAUGAUAUAGUUAUUGUAACAUUGGCUUACUAAAGAUUUAGCACACUAAGAAUGAUUUAAUGUGCUUAAAAAGGCUUCCAAAUUCAUAUGCCAUGGGCUCGUACAUAUAAGAAACUCUCUCUUUUUUAGCAAUUCCUCAUGAAAAACAACCGCCGCCUCUGGUUGAAGUUUAACAUUGGAGUUCAUAAUGUUUUUUGCUAUUCAAGGGUUUAUUGAUCAAUAGCUUUUCGGAUGUAUUUUUGCUAAGAUGUUAUGGACAUAGUAGGCUAUUACCAAUGUUGUAUAUGGUAUUGCACUUAUGAUU
Molecule: long non-coding RNA, 1492 nt
Filed under: Helianthus annuus (common sunflower)
Lineage: Eukaryota; Viridiplantae; Streptophyta; Magnoliopsida; Asterales; Asteraceae
Description: sRNA HanXRQr2_Chr03g0122641
Source: RNAcentral